This 292-nucleotide long non-coding RNA is filed under the name Homo sapiens (human). Its description in RNAcentral is "HSALNT0262071". Lineage: Eukaryota; Metazoa; Chordata; Mammalia; Primates; Hominidae. The record is from RNAcentral.
AUUUAACGGGGAGAGCAAAGGAGGCGCAGAGAUGGUGUUGCGGGAAACUGAGGACUAGACAGACUGAUAUGGGGGAGACAAAAGGAUGUUUAUUUAAGAUACGCACCGGCUCAGUGGAUUUACAUCUAAAAAGCUGAGCAUUUCAACAAAGACGGAGUGGGGUUUUUUGCUUUCAGAAGCAGAAUAAAAGCAGUUAAUCAUAUAAUGAUAGGUCAUGUAAUCUAUAGCAUAGCAUAACUUGUGUCCUUCCAUAGCUGGUGGCCUCGUAGCUGAGUUGAAAGAAAAACAAGAA